CAGCCACAUGCCUUCCAGCAGGCUGCCUCACAGGGCCCCAGGCAUGGCCUGCUCAAGCUCAUGCCAUGGGCUUUGGGUCUGAGUUUGUAGCAAACACUGGUCCUUUUGUGUGGGGCGGCCGCGCCACACUGCAUACAAAUAGAGCCUCAAUCACUGUCGGCAGCAAAAUGUUCCCUAAGUGGGCCAGACUCCCCUCUUCCACUCAUUUUUGCUUCCUUGGAUGUGGCCUCUGAGGGCCCCUCUGGGUCUUGCUCAUUUGGGUCCAUGUCCCUUUAUCCUGUAAGCACACCUUGCCCAGGACACCAGAGACAAUGCAGAGAAUAAAGCAAACCAGAUCAGAGCCUGUAUGCCGAGCCUAACUGCCUGGGGUUCAAAUCCAGGCUCUACCACUAACCAGCCGUGCCACCUCAGCUGACAACACCCCCCUGCAUGGGAUGGCGGCGCUUGGGGAUAAUGACACCCAGUGACGGCACUAUUUUCUGUUGUAUGCCUCAAACACGCUGUGAUUACCGGCAGCUUUCAGGCUUCGCUGUCACAAUCAAACACCCGGAGAGUUCCUUUGUAAAGUGGGCUCAUCUGAGGCUGUGGGAAGCCCUGGCUUCCCAGACGCUUCCUCUCCCGGGACAACGAUGGUUGCUGCCAGACUCCAGGCCACAGAUGGGGAAACUGAGGCAUAGAGGAACUACUGAACAUCUCCCUUGGGCCUCCAUGGAGCCAGCACCCGGCCUGGCACAGGUCACCCUUCUGUGUUGGGUCAGCUAAGCAUUGCUGAAUGCCUGCUGACAGACUAACCAGAGGCAGUGAUCUUAGCUGCUGGGUCGGGGCCCUGAGAACUUCCCACCAGCAGUCAGUGGAGUGCACACUGGAGACCCAGACUGGAAACCCAUGCCAAGCUAGGGGUUUGAUUCCCAGGUUCUGGACCUGAUGUUGCAGCCUGAUGCUGUGUAAAAAAACGGACAAUAGAGCAACCUCUCUAAACCUGUGUCCUCAUUUGCAAAGCAGACAGCACGGUCCAGUCAGGCUGCUGUGGAGAUGGAAAAGGCUUCAAAGUGUGGGGUGCAGCAUAGACUACACAGGGUCUCCUGGCCCCAGACACAGAGUGUGUGUGUGUGUGUGUGUGUGUGUGUGUGUGUGUGUGUGUGUGUGUGUGUGUGUGUGUGUUGGGGGUGGGGGGGAUUGUGGCUGUGGACCUGACAGUUCUAGAUGGAAACUAAAGACAGAGUGGAAAAUGCGAGCAGGAUUUGCUAUUAUGUCUCCAUUUUUACUGAUAAGGAAAUGGAGACCCAGAGAGGUGAAGUCAUUUACCUCAUUCCUCCAGCAAGAGCAGAACAAGGAACAAGGCCUCCGAGGUCCCUUUCAGCCGCCUGCUGGCUCUCUGGGUACCAGCCUUCCCACUUCCUCUCUCUCCCCUCUCCUGUCUUCACAUCCUAUACCCCAGGCCCAGGCUCCACGCUCUCCUCCCCUCCCCUUUAUCCCACUCACAGCCAGUGGAGAGCCAGACAGCCAACCUUGCUCACCCAAAGAGUGAGAAGUGCCUUUUUGUGUCUGAUUCCAAUGUUUCUUGCUAUAAAGCCAGCUUGUCCUUAUUAGCAGAUGGGGCCUCGAUCACCACCCUCCCCACCUUUUGCCACAAAUGUUUCCCUCUCCAUAGAUGUUUAUCCAGCUGGGCUGUGGGCAGCCAGGCCCCACACUGUUGGGAAUCCCCGAUUGUCCUUGAUGCAGAAGCACUAUGGGACUUAGACUCUCAGCUCUGGGGUGGGUCCUCAGACGGAACUGGUCUUACAGUGGAGUGGAGGCACAAGAAAAGCCACAGUGUCUCGGCACAGACAGAAGAAGGCACAGUUAACUUAGCCAGCCCAUCUCACUGGGAAGGACACAGGCCCAGAGCAGCUGGUCAGUUUGUCCUGAGUCACAUCCUGGCAUACAACAGGACCAGAUUUUAGCACAGGGUUGGGCUGAAUCCCCGGUUGCACCCCAAGUUGUUUAAUGGGGUGCCAGCAUGGGCUCCAGAUUCCCAGCUUCCAGAACUAAAAGUCAAAUAAACUUCCAUGUUAUUAA
Long non-coding RNA from Mus musculus (house mouse), 2058 nucleotides. RefSeq annotates it as predicted gene, 33542. Lineage: Eukaryota; Metazoa; Chordata; Mammalia; Rodentia; Muridae. The transcript is spliced from 2 exons. The record is from RefSeq and is a predicted model, not a curated record.